CUCGGUGUUCAACAAUAUUCUUUUCUGUUGUUCAUGUAUGAACAAAUUCGAGUGUUCUGUGCUUUCAGGAAGUGGCUCCCUUGUAGGGGAUUGAGAUGCACCAUGGUGGCUCUCCUACCUUCACUGCUUGAGAGCUCUCUGCUCUAUUGUUAUUAUAAAGAACAUAGAUAAAGAUACAAACAUAGACGUAAAUAGCCUCUGCUUAGUCAUAACCACUUUCUGAGAUCUGCUUUCUCUGGAGUCCUACCUCUUCCCACAGGGUUUGAUCCUUUUCUCUCCUUUGCCCUCAGAGUUCCUGUCCUGCUCAAUUUGAAUUCUCUUUACAGUAGCAUCUCCUUAGGAAAGGAGUUUUAUUAGAUAUUUCUGAGUUCUUUGAGCACUUAACCAUUGCAGUACCUUCUGAUCUCUCCUUAGUCCCUUAAUGUGUAGCUGGGCUCUUUUAUUCCACUCACCCUAAUCGGAGGCUGGAACCUUCUUCUUUACACUGUUAUUCUCACAAUAUUCACUUGCUGAGCAAAAAGGAUUCCUUCCAAGAAGGGACUGUCUCUUGUUGAGUAUUUUUUGGCAAUUGCUGUAUUGCAGUGCUUGUACAACCAUUAAAACUCUCUUUCUCUCCCCUCCCCUCCCCCUGCAUAGCUGCUAAAUCUAGGCAUGUCAUGCAUGGGUCCUCCAUCGUCUGUGGGUUGGGCGAGGCAAAACCUACUGGUGUUCUGACAUUCAUGGGCAUGUCCUGUUAGUUGGUUUUCUGGAGGAUGUUGUAAGUAGAAUUUUUCUUUUGCUAGUCUAGUUACUUAGUGUGUUUUUAGGAAAGGAUUGGAGAAAUUAAAAAAACUAUGCAUCAUGAUUUGUCCUGACUUGAAAUCAAGUUGGGCUUAUUUUUAAAUCAUGAACCUAUCAAUCAAGGUAACACAGUCACUGAUUCUGCAUAACCCCAUUGUUACGCAGUUAUGCUCCUAAGAUUAUAGUUACUUCCAAUGUAGUUUUUGUUCAACUUAAUUAUUUAUUAGGUUUCUUAAAGAUGUUCUUUUCAAGUAUACUCAGCCUCUAUCUCAGAGUUGCCCACAUUCUGAUAUUGCUUACAUUUUCCUCACCAACUCCCUUCAAAUUAUAGCUUCCUUCAUUAGCUAGCCUCAGUUUUAGAGUAUGUACAUAUGUGUUCAGAACAAUUUUUUCCAUCAAUGAUAUUCUUUUUGCUUUAAAAUCAGACUUUAUUUGAGAACUUCCUCAUGCUAAAAUUGUUGUAUUUUCCUCCUAGGCGUGUUUCAAGUUGGUCUCUAUAUUUCAGGAGCUUCAGUCAGAAGGCCUCCUUUAAUGUUCAGAGGACUCACUAAAUCAAAAAUGGUUUCCUUGAGAGGGUGGAUAUAAAAGCAAGAGCUCAAAGACAAAAAGGAAGACAUUGAAAGGAGGCAGGUCAAAUACUGAAAGCAAUGAAAGACCAGGAAGCAAAGAGAAAGGAGAAGAGAAAAACAAAUAACCCCCCCACCACACAUACACACAAAAAAAGAGAGGAAGAGGAGGAAGCACAGGAGGAAAGAACUAGAUUGGAAGAGAAAUAGAAAUGCAAAACGGAAGAGAGAGAGAAAGAAAGGAAAAGAAACUAGCCUGGUUGUUGGACUGCGGUAGCUUGGUCCUUUCCCGCCUGCACCACCCCCUACCCAAACCCCAAUAAUCUCUUCAAGGCAAAGGCUCCUUAGAGAUUUAGUAGAAAAAGAAGUUUUACAGACUGAAUGAAGGUGCAUGAAAUUCUGCUUAGCUUAAUUUGAUCAUAACGCCUUUGGCAAGUCACUGUUUUACCACCUGAAUUGUCUUUAUCUGCAACACCUAAAUAGUUAACAUUAGUAAACUAGAAAAAGUGCCCUGUCUCCAUGUGAGCUGUAUUCCAAAAAUUCAUUUUAAGGUGAUUCAAUUUGAAGUUAGAAUGUAUUUUCCUACAGAAAGUGUUAAAACAGUAUAACAACAGUUCAUAAAAAUAUAUUUAACAGGGCCAGCCCUAGUGGCCUAGUG
RNAcentral lists this long non-coding RNA (2004 nucleotides) under Equus caballus (horse). RNAcentral's name for it is "lncRNA (ENSECAG00000057514.1)". The record is from RNAcentral. Lineage: Eukaryota; Metazoa; Chordata; Mammalia; Perissodactyla; Equidae.